UUUCCAUUAAAAAACCCAAAA
Non-coding RNA from Caenorhabditis elegans, 21 nucleotides. The record is from Ensembl. NCBI's taxonomy places the organism in Eukaryota, Metazoa, Nematoda, Chromadorea, Rhabditida, Rhabditidae.